Molecule: ribosomal RNA, 844 nt
Filed under: uncultured Gemmatimonadota bacterium
Lineage: Bacteria; Pseudomonadati; Gemmatimonadota
Description: bacterial SSU rRNA
Rfam family: Bacterial small subunit ribosomal RNA
Source: RNAcentral
ACCUUCGGGUCUGAGGCGAGUGGCGGACGGGUGAGUAACACGUGAGCAAUCUGUCCCUGUGUGGGGGACAACCCGGGGAAACUCGGGCUAAUACCGCAUGGGCAGGCACUUCAUAGGAAGAGCCUGGGAAAGAGGCCCUCUUUACAAUGGUCUCAUGCAGGGAGGAGCUCGCGGGCUAUCAGCUAGUUGGUAGUGGUAAUGGCCUACCAAGGCGACGACGGCUACGGGGUCUGAGAGGACGACCCCGCACAUUGGAACUGAGACACGGUCCAGACUCCUACGGGAGGCAGCAGUGGGGAAUUUUGGGCAAUGGCCGAAAGGCUGACCCAGCGACGCCGCGUGUGGGAUGACGCCUCUCGGGGUGUAAACCACUGUCAGAGGGGAAGAAUAGCGCAGUUGCGAAUAGUUGCUGCGUGUGACGGUACCCUCAAAGGAAGCACCGGCUAACUCCGUGCCAGCAGCCGCGGUAAUACGGAGGGUGCAAGCGUUGUUCGGAUUUACUGGGCGUAAAGCGCGCGCAGGUGGGUGAACAAGUCGGAAGUGAAAUCUUGAGGCUCAACCUCGAGGCUGCUCCCGAAACUGUUCGCCUAGGGACUGGUAGAGGCUGGUAGAAUUCCCGGUGUAGCGGUGGAAUGCGUAGAGAUCGGGAAGAAUACCUGUGGCGAAGGCGGCCAGCUGGGCCAGAUCCGACACUGAGGCGCGAAAGCGUGGGGAGCAAACAGGAUUAGAUACCCUGGUAGUCCACGCCGUAAACGAUGGGCACUAGGCGCUGGUGGGAGCGACCCCUUCAGUGCCGUAGCUAACGCGAUAAGUGCCCCGCCUGGGGAGUACGGCCGCAAGGCUG